Non-coding RNA from Lactarius quietus, 72 nucleotides. NCBI's taxonomy places the organism in Eukaryota, Fungi, Basidiomycota, Agaricomycetes, Russulales, Russulaceae. The record is from the annotation of a GenBank genome assembly.
GGCUGGGUAGCUCAGUUGGAGAAUACUUGGUAUAUAUCCCAGGGGUCCUGGGUUCAAGCCCAGGUUGGGUCA